GACGAACGCUGGCGGCGUGCUUAACACAUGCGAGUCGAACGGAAAGGCCCUGCUUUUGUGGGGUGCUCGAGUGGCGAACGGGUGAGUAACACGUGAGUAACCUGCCCUUGACUUUGGGAUAACUUCAGGAAACUGGGGCUAAUACCGGAUAGGAGCUCCUGCUGCAUGGUGGGGGUUGGAAAGUUUCGGCGGUUGGGGAUGGACUCGCGGCUUAUUAGCUUGUUGGUGGGGUAGUGGCUUACCAAGGCUUUGACGGGUAGCCGGCCUGAGAGGGUGACCGGCCACAUUGGGACUGAGAUACGGCCCAGACUCCUACGGGAGGCAGCAGUGGGGAAUAUUGCACAAUGGGCGGAAGCCUGAUGCAGCAACGCCGCGUGCGGGAUGACGGCCUUCGGGUUGUAAACCGCUUUCGCCUGUGACGAAGCGUGAGUGACGGUAAUGGGUAAAGAAGCACCGGCUAACUACGUG
This 468-nucleotide ribosomal RNA is filed under the name uncultured bacterium. RNAcentral describes it as "partial 16S ribosomal RNA". It matches the Rfam family "Bacterial small subunit ribosomal RNA", at positions 28 to 507 of the family's 1533-position model. The record is from RNAcentral.